Non-coding RNA from Notechis scutatus (mainland tiger snake), 88 nucleotides. The record is from RefSeq and is a predicted model, not a curated record. Lineage: Eukaryota; Metazoa; Chordata; Lepidosauria; Squamata; Elapidae.
UAAGCCUGGGAGACAGGUCAAACGUGUCAUCAGUCAUGAAUCCCUUCCUGCCCACAAGAGAUCUAAGUCCCGCCCACCUUGAAUUCCU